This 1345-nucleotide long non-coding RNA is filed under the name Capsicum annuum. RNAcentral describes it as "long non-coding RNA (CANN_LNC005667)". The record is from RNAcentral. Lineage: Eukaryota; Viridiplantae; Streptophyta; Magnoliopsida; Solanales; Solanaceae.
UAAUAAUAAUAAUAAUAAUAAUAAUAAUAAUAAAUAAAACAUAUAAAAUUUUCUAAAGUAUGCUGAAAUUAAUAUUACAAUCCCUAAAUCUAAUCACAAUUUAUAAAUAACUCAAAUAAAAUAUUCUCAAAUCAAAUUUAAAUAUAAAAUUAACAAAUAAGCAAUAAUACACAUAAUAUAAAACAAACAGUAGUUGAGAAUAUUACUUUCAACACCAAAAUCAUAAACUCAAAUCAGGUCGAGCCCACUUUUCGGAGGGUAUCUUCCAUUUUUCAGCGAGGCUUGAUUGUAACAGAAAAGAGGAGAAGAGAGAGACGGCGUCGAUGUGGGGGUAGUGUCGAAUCUGAGGGUUGGCGGAGUGGGGUGACGCCAUUUUCGUCGGUAGCGGAUUGUCGUCGGCUAUGGUGGUGCGACGUCGGGGAAAGGAGAGGGAUGGUCGGAGCGGCGCGGGGAGGGGAAAGGGAUGAAAGACCAUUGAUAGCCUUAGAAUUUUUGGUGACGUUUUUUUCGAUGGGUUACCCGAUUUUCGCAAUCACCGGCAGAUCUGGAUCUUAAUUUUUUUUUUCAACGAAUUUUGAAUGUUGGUUCACUGGAAAAUAGGGACGGGAUGAUGGUGAUUAAUUGGGAGAGCAUUUUAAUUGACGCUGACAGUGGUUUCACCAUCAAAACAGCGUCAAACACGGACUGUUUUCUCCUCUGUUCAUUUUUCUUUCUCUCGAUUCUCUUCUUUUCUACCAUUUUUUUAAUUUUGGCAACAUACUCAUGUUGCUUAUGAGUUGCUAUUAUGUGUGUGCAUUAUAUAUGUAUCAGUAUAGUGUGAGAAAGAAUGGAGUGUUAAUGAGUGGUUAUAUUUUAUUAUAUCUGCUUUACAAUGAGUAUAUGAAUUAUCUGUGUACACAAAUUAUGCAGUGAGUGUAACAAUUUAACAUACUAGCAUAUUUUUAUUAUCAUGUAUAGCUAUAAAAAAAUAUGUUACUACAUCAUGUUAGUUUCUUUUCAUUAUCAUAAUAAGCACAUUACAAUAUACAUAAGACAAAGACAUUUCAAUAAACUAAUGUAAUAUCAAUUCAUGAUAUAACAAAACUGAUAAAAUAAAAUUCUAGAUUUAAAAGAAACAUGUGAUUGAAAAUAAAGCAGAAAACUUUGAAUAUUGCUUUCGGAAACUUGGAUGCGAAUCAAACUCAACUUCCUUGAUAUUCACUCUUUGUCUUGUUUCUUGUCUGAUGAUUUUUACUGUUAUUCCCCUUCGAUUUUUCCACCCUUUUUUUAAUCUGAUUUUUUGAUGUAAAAAAAAAUACGUAGAAUCCUUUAAAUACAGAUAUUUGGGAGGGAGUAGUUAUUUUUU